AUUGAACGCUGGCGGCAGGCUUAACACAUGCAAGUCGAGCGAGCGGCGGACGGGUGAGUAAUGUCUGGGAAACUGCCUGAUGGAGGGGGAUAACUACUGGAAACGGUAGCUAAUACCGCAUACCAUCGGAUGUGCCCAGAUGGGAUUAGCUAGUUGGUGGGGUAAUGGCUCACCUAGGCGACGAUCCCUAGCUGGUCUGAGAGGAUGACCAGCCACACUGGAACUGAGACACGGUCCAGACUCCUACGGGAGGCAGCAGUGGGGAAUAUUGCACAAUGGGCGCAAGCCUGAUACAGCCAUGCCGCGUGUGUGAAGAAGGCCUUCGGGUUGUAAAGCACUUUCAGUGAGGAGGCGUUACCCGCAGAAGAAGCACCGGCUAACUCCGUGCCAGCAGCCGCGGUAAUUC
This 406-nucleotide ribosomal RNA is filed under the name uncultured bacterium. RNAcentral's name for it is "partial 16S ribosomal RNA". It matches the Rfam family "Bacterial small subunit ribosomal RNA", at positions 30 to 526 of the family's 1533-position model. The record is from RNAcentral.